MicroRNA precursor from Pan troglodytes (chimpanzee), 98 nucleotides. It matches the Rfam family "mir-544 microRNA precursor family". NCBI's taxonomy places the organism in Eukaryota, Metazoa, Chordata, Mammalia, Primates, Hominidae. The record is from Rfam.
CCCACCUGGGGAUCUUGUUAAAAUGCAGAUUAUGGCUCAGUAGGUCUCUGGUGGGUUCUGAUAUUUUGCAUUUUUAACAAGCUCCCAGGAGAAGCCAG